AAAACAUGUCUUAUUGAUAAUAAUUUUAAGUCUAAUCUGCCCAAUGAAAUUUUAAUGGCUGCAGUAUCAAUAACUGUACAAAGGUAGCAUAAUAAUUAGUUUUUUAAUUAAAAACUAGAAUGAAAGAUUAAAUGAAAUAUAAACUAUAUAAAUAAAAUAAAAAUUUAAAUUAAAUUUUAAGUUAAAAUUCUUAAAUAUAAUUAAAAGACGAGAAGACCCUUUAGAAUUUUAUAUUAAUUUAAAUUAAAAUUAUAUUAAUUAUUAUUUAAAUUUUAAUUAAUAUUUAAUUGGGGUAAUUUUACAAUUUAAUAAACUUUUAAAUACCUUAAACAUUAAUUAAUGAAUUUAUAAUCCUAAAAUUUAGUAUUUUAAAAUAAAUUACCUUAGG
Molecule: ribosomal RNA, 388 nt
Filed under: Aphidius avenae
Lineage: Eukaryota; Metazoa; Arthropoda; Insecta; Hymenoptera; Braconidae
Description: partial 16S ribosomal RNA
Source: RNAcentral